Molecule: regulatory RNA element, 62 nt
Organism: Oryctolagus cuniculus (rabbit)
Lineage: Eukaryota; Metazoa; Chordata; Mammalia; Lagomorpha; Leporidae
Rfam family: Gag/pol translational readthrough site
Source: Rfam
UAGGAAAGUCAGGGCCAGGAGCCCGCCCCCGAGCCCUGGGUAACUCUCAAUGUAGGGGGGUA